UGAGAUUUGGAGGAAAAUUAAAUUUCAUCUAGCAGACACUAAAAAUACUUUUAGGUGUGUUUGUAGUCGGAAGCUGUGUAUUGUUAUCAGGGUUAAGGAAAUAAAUGAUCAACAGUACUUGUGCAAGGUCCUAUGCCAAACACUGUGUAAGAGAAUGGAAAUAGAUCAACUCCAUUUCUCUCUGAUGUGAGCUUUUGAAGGGGUAGUUAACCAAAAAAUAUGCAAAUUGCCUGUAGUUCUCAAAAAUAAAACUUCCUGCUUUUGUAAUGGAAAAAAAGCAUGAGUGGUGAGAUUGUGUGUGGUAUUUUCAACCUCACCUUUUCAAUAUAACUAAUACCGUGUAUGAUUUAUGCCAAUGUGAAUCUUUAGGAAUCAUUUCAAAGUUUGUCCUCUCCUUUCCCUUCCUUCCUUCCUUGAACCCAGGGCCUUUGUACUGAGCUACUUCCUAAGGCCCUUUUACAUUUUUAAAAUUUGGAGACAGGGUCUCCCUCAGGGAUCGAAAGUGUGUACCGCCAAGGCCGGGUUUUGUUUGAGACGGGGUCUUGCUGUGUAUCCCAGGCUGGCCACAACUCAGGAUCUUCCUAUUUCAGCUUCAGCUUCGGGAAGGCUGGCGUUGCAGGCUUGAUUUACCAUGCCUUCACUAUUUCAAAUCUAAGUGUUACAUUUGAAACUAAGAAUGCACAAUUUACUUGGCCUUGCCCUGUGUAACAUUGAGGCAGUCUGAGAUGUAACAGUCUUCAGGCCGCUGACCUGGUCCCCCGGUUUCCUGGUCUGGCCCGCAGGUGCUGCCCGGGCACAGUCCGGAAGUUGGGAGUCGGCAGUGGCUACGGCGGGCCAGCGCUGGCAGGCUCCAGCGGAGGACAAAGCCACAGCGGUUCCGGAAGCUACUCAGGUGACUCCAGUGGGCUGCGGCCUGCCUUGGCGCCCCUGAGGGACGGAGGAGUCCCAGCAGGCGUGAAAUUCACAUUCAGAGCAUCUGUCACAUCCAAGCCUGAGCCAAUUUCUCUUCAAAAGCUGCACAGCUGGAGAGUAAAGGAGGAGAGGUCCAGUACGAAACAGAGCAGCGAGUACCUUGAGAAGAAGAGUGCCUCCCGUCUCUCCGUCCACGUCCUUUCCGGUUUAGGAUCUGCUGGCAGGAUCUCGCCACACCCAGCCUGUGCAUCAAGGUUUUUAAAGAGCAGAUGCAUCUUCUUCACAGUAAACGACUGGUUUGUGUGCUGA
RNAcentral lists this long non-coding RNA (1221 nucleotides) under Fukomys damarensis (Damara mole-rat). Its description in RNAcentral is "lncRNA (ENSFDAG00000021889.1)". The record is from RNAcentral. Lineage: Eukaryota; Metazoa; Chordata; Mammalia; Rodentia; Bathyergidae.